This 485-nucleotide ribosomal RNA is filed under the name uncultured bacterium. RNAcentral describes it as "bacterial SSU rRNA". It matches the Rfam family "Bacterial small subunit ribosomal RNA", at positions 28 to 508 of the family's 1533-position model. The record is from RNAcentral.
GAUGAACGCUAGCGGGAGGCUUAAUACAUGCAAGUCGUACGGUAACAGGUGUAGCAAUACAUGCUGACGAGUGGCGCACGGGUGAGGAACACGUACACAAUCUGCCUUUGACUGGGGGAUAGCCUUGGGAAACUAAGAUUAAUACCCCAUAACAUCAUGAUGUGGCAUCACAUUGUGAUUAAACCUCCGGGGGUCAAAGAUGAGUGUGCGUCUGAUUAGGUAGUUGGUAGGGUAACGGCCUACCAAGCCAACGAUCAGUAGCUGGCGUGAGAGCGCGACCAGCCACACGGGAACUGAGACACGGUCCCGACUCCUACGGGAGGCAGCAGUAGGGAAUAUUGGACAAUGGCUGAAAAGCUGAUCCAGCCAUCCCGCGUGAAGGUAGAAGGUCCUAUGGAUUGUAAACUUCUUUUCUCUGGGAAGAAAAAGCUUGAUUCAUCAAGCCCUGACGGUACCAGAGGAAUAAGCACCGGCUAACUCCGUGC